AUUGAACGCUGGCGGCAUGCUUUACACAUGCCAGUCGAACGGCAGCGCGGGCUUCGGCCUGGCGGCGAGUGGCGAACGGGUGAGUAAUGCAUCGGAACGUGCCCAGUAGUGGGGGAUAGCCCGGCGAAAGCCGGAUUAAUACCGCAUACGACCUGAGGGUGAAAGCGGGGGACCGAAAGGCCUCGCGCUAUUGGAGCGGCCGAUGUCGGAUUAGCUAGUUGGUGGGGUAAAGGCUUACCAAGGCGACGAUCCGUAGCUGGUCUGAGAGGACGACCAGCCACACUGGGACUGAGACACGGCCCAGACUCCUACGGGAGGCAGCAGUGGGGAAUUUUGGACAAUGGGGGCAACCCUGAUCCAGCCAUGCCGCGUGCGGGAAGAAGGCCUUCGGGUUGUAAGCCGCUUUUGUUCGGGAAGAAAUCCUAUGGGCUAAUACCCCGGGGGGAUGACGGUACCGGAAGAAUAAGCACCGGCUAACUACGUG
Molecule: ribosomal RNA, 484 nt
Filed under: uncultured bacterium
Lineage: Bacteria
Description: partial 16S ribosomal RNA
Rfam family: Bacterial small subunit ribosomal RNA
Source: RNAcentral